RNAcentral lists this ribosomal RNA (1392 nucleotides) under Lepidostoma inops. RNAcentral's name for it is "16S ribosomal RNA". Lineage: Eukaryota; Metazoa; Arthropoda; Insecta; Trichoptera; Lepidostomatidae. The record is from RNAcentral.
AAUUUAAGAUUUAAUUUAAAAUAAAAUUUUUAGUGAAAAAAAUUAUAUUAUAAAAUAAGUAAAAUAAUAUUAAUUAAAUUUAUUUUAGUAAUAAUAAAUAGAAAAAAUAUUUAAAUUGAUAAAUUAAUAGUAAUGUAAAAGAAAAUUGUUAAAUAAAAUUUUUAAAAUUAUUUUAAAGAAAAAUAAUUUUUGUAUUUUGUGUAUCAAAGAUUAUUUAAAAAAAAUUUAUAAAAUAAAUUUUUUAGAAAAUUAAAGAGUUAAUAAAAUUAUUAUUUUAGUUAUUGUAAAAUAAAUAUUAAAAAUAAUUUGUUGGAAAUGAAAUUUUAAACAAUUUAAUUAUUAUCUAAUUUUUAAAGAAAUAAAUUUAAUUUAGCUGUUAAAAAAUUUUUGUAAAUUUAAAAAGAUUAAUUUUAUCAAAAUUAUAAAUUAAUAAGUAAUAUUAAAUGGGAUAAGCUAUUUAAUAAAUUUAUAAAUAAAAAAAAAAAUUAAAAUUUAUAAAAAUAAAAUUAUUUAUUAAAUUUAUUUUAUUAUAAAAAAUUUUAAAUAAAAAAAUUUUAAAAAAUUUUAAUAUAUGAAAUUAUUAAAAAUUUAUUUAAAUAUAAAUUUAAAUUAGUUAAAUUAGUUAUUUAUAAUAAUAUUAGUAUAUUUUUGAAAUAAUAAAAAUAAUUAAAGUUUAAAAAAUUAAAUUUUAGAAUUCGGCAAAAAUUUAUAUUCGCUUGUUUAACAAAAACAUGUCUUUUUGAUUUUUAAUUUAAAGUCUAAUCUGCCCCCUGAAUUAAUUUUUAAAGGGCUGCAGUAUUUUAACUGUACAAAGGUAGCAUAAUAAAUAGGUUUUUAAUUGAAAUCUAGAAUGAAUGAUUGGACGAAAUAUAAUCUUUUUUAAUUUAAAAAUUUAUAAAACUUUAUUUUUUAGUAAAAAAGCUAAAAUGUAAUUAAAAGACGAGAAGACCCUAUAAAUCUUUAUAAUUAAUAUUUAGUUAAAAAAUUAUAUUAAAAAUUUAUUAAAUAAGUAAAUUAUUUUAUUGGGGUGAUAAAAAAAUUAAAUAACUUUUUUAAUUGAAAAAUUUAAAUAAAAAAUUUAAUUUAAUUGAAUUAUUUUUAAGGUUAAAUAAUAUAAAGAAAAGAUACUUUAGGGAUAACAGCGUAAUUUUAAUUUUAAGUUCUUAUUAAAAUUAAAGAUUGCGACCUCGAUGUUGGAUUAAAAUUAAUUUUAAAUGCAAAAAUUUAAAGUAUUGAGUCUGUUCGACUUUUAAAAUUUUACAUGAUCUGAGUUCAAACCGGUGUAAGCCAGGUUGGUUUCUAUCUUUAAUUUAAAUAAAUUUUUUAGUACGAAAGGAAUAUAAAUUUAAAAUAAUUUUUUUAAAAAUGAAUAAAAUUAAUAAUUUUUUUAAA